This is a long non-coding RNA of Oncorhynchus keta (chum salmon), 2883 nucleotides long. RefSeq lists it as uncharacterized. The record is from RefSeq and is a predicted model, not a curated record. The transcript has 3 exons. Lineage: Eukaryota; Metazoa; Chordata; Actinopteri; Salmoniformes; Salmonidae.
GAGAGGACAACUAUACAUCGCAUGUUAGGACUUUAUGUGCUUCGCCCAGUUAUGACGUCGUAGCCAUGUCUACCAGAUUUCAGUGAAUUGCUUUUGUUAAGCAGAAGCAAGUUUCCAUUCUAAAUUGGUAGGUGAUCUGUUUUCGUGUGCAGGUUAGCUCCGGACACUGCUGUGUUUUGAAAAUGUGUUUUAAAAUCUGUGUUCAGGUAACAUUAGAUUAGAAGACCUUUAUUUUCCUAAGAUUGGGGAAUUCGUUUGGCAUUAAGCUUCACAACAUCAGAAAUAAAAGAGUUAUCAUCCUGAAUCUCUGCUCAGGUAAUAUAGGUCUGUGAGAGUGUGCUCAGGUAAUAUAGGUCUGUGAGAGUGUGUUCAGGUAAUAUAGGUCUGUGAGAGUGUGCUCAUGUAAUAUAGGUCUGUGACUGUGAGUGUGUGCUCAGGUAAUAUAGGUCUGUGAGAGUGUGCUCAGGUAAUAUAGGUCUGUGACUGUGAGUGUGUGUUCAGGUAAUAUAGGUCUGUGAGAGUGUGUUCAGGUAAUAUAGGUCUGUGAGAGUGUGCUCAGGUAAUAUAGGUCUGUGAGAGUGUGUUCAGGUAAUAUAGGUCUGUGAGAGUGUGUUCAGGUAAUAUAGGUCUGUGAGAGUGUGUUCAGGUAAUAUAGGUCUGUGAGAGUGUGUUCAGGUAAUAUAGGUCUGUGAGAGUGUGCUCAGGUAAUAUAGGUCUGUGACUGUGAGUGUGUGCUCAGGUAAUAUAGGUCUGUGAGAGUGUGCUCAGGUAAUAUAGGUCUGUGACUGUGAGUGUGUGUUCAGGUAAUAUAGGUCUGUGAGAGUGUGUUCAGGUAAUAUAGGUCUGUGAGAGUGUGUUCAGGUAAUAUAGGUCUGUGAGAGUGUGCUCAGGUAGUAUAGGUCUGUGACUGUGAGCUCAGGUAAUAUAGGUCUGUGAGUGUGUGCUCAGGUAAUUUUUAUUUUUUUUAUUUCACCUUUAUUUAACCAGGUAGGCUAGUUGAGAACAAGUUCUCAUUUGCAACUGCGACCUGGCCAAGAUAAAGCAUAGCAGUGUGAACAGACAACACAGAGUUACACAUGGAGUAAACAAUUAACAAGUCAAUAACACAGUAGAAAAAAAGGGGAGUCUAUAUACAUUGUGUGCAAAAGGCAUGAGGAGGUAGGCGAAUAAUUACAAUUUUGCAGAUUAACACUGGAGUGAUAAAUGAUCAGAUGGUCAUGUACAGGUAGAGAUAUUGGUGUGCAAAAGAGCAGAAAAGUACAUAAAUAAAAACAGUAUGGGAAUGAGGUAGGUAAAAUUGGGUGGGCUAUUUACCAAUAGACUAUGUACAGCUGCAGCGAUCGGUAAGCUGCUCAGAUAGCAGAUGUUUGAAGUUGGUGAGGGAGAUAAAAGUCUCCAACUUCAGCGAUUUUUGCAAUUUGUUCCAGUCACAGGCAGCAGAGUACUGGAACGAAAGGCGGCCAAAUGAGGUGUUGGCUUUAGGGAUGAUCAGUGAGAUACACCUGAUGGAGCGCGUGCUACGGAUGGAUGGGUUUUGCCAUCGUGACCAGUGAACUGAGAUAAGGCGGAGCUUUACCUAGCAUGGACUUGUAGAUGACCUGGAGCCAGUGGGUCUGGCGACGAAUAUGUAGCGAGGGCCAGCCGACUAGAGCAUACAAGUCGCAGUGGUGGGUGGUAUAAGGUGCUUUAGUGACAAAACGGAUGGCACUGUGAUAAACUGCAUCCAGUUUGCUGAGUAGAGUGUUGGAAGCAAUUUUGUAGAUGACAUCGCCGAAGUCGAGGAUCGGUAGGAUAGUCAGUUUUACUAGGGUAAGUUUGGCGGCGUGAGUGAAGGAGGCUUUGUUGCGGAAUAGAAAGCCGACUCUUGAUUUGAUUUUCGAUUGUAGAUGUUUGAUAUGAGUCUGGAAGGAGAGUUUACAGUCUAGCCAGACACCUAGGUACUUAUAGAUGUCCACAUAUUCAAGGUCGGAACCAUCCAGGGUGGUGAUGCAAGUCGGGCAUGCGGGUGCAGGCAGCGAUCGGUUGAAAAGCAUGCAUUUGGUUUUACUAGCGUUUAAGAGCAGUUGGAGGCCACGGAAGGAGUGUUGUAUGGCAUUGAAGCUCGUUUGGAGGUUAGAUAGCACAGUGUCCAAUGACGGGCCGGAAGUAUAUAGAAUGGUGUCGUCUGCGUAGAGGUGGAUCAGGGAAUCGCCCGCAGCAAGAGCAACAUCAUUGAUAUAUACAGAGAAAAAAAGUUGGCCCGAGAAUUGAACCCUGUGGCACCCCCAUAGAGACUGCCAGAGGACCGGACAGCAUGCCCUCCGAUUUGACACACUGAACUCUUGUCUGCAAAGUAAUUGGUGAACCAGGCAAGGCAGUCAUCCGAAAAUCCGAGGCUACUGAGUCUGCCGAUAAGAAUAUGGUGAUUGACAGAGUCGAAAGCCUUGGCAAGGUCGAUGAAGACGGCUGCACAGUACUCACUUUUAUCGAUGGCGGUUAUGAUAUCGUUUAGUACCUUGAGUGUGGCUGAGUUGCACCCGUGACCGGCUCGGAAACCAGAUUGCACAGCGGAGAAGGUACGGUGGGAUUCGAGAUGGUCAGUGAUCUGUUUGUUGACUUGGCAUUCGAAGACCUUAGAUAGGCAGGGCAGGAUGGAUAUAGGUCUGUAACCUCCUUUGAAGAGGGGGAUGACUGCGGCAGCUUUCCAAUCCUUGGGGAUCUCAGACGUAAUAUAGGUCUGUGUGUGUGUGUUCAGGUAAUAUAGGUCUGUGAGAGUGUGCUCAGGUAAUAUAGGUCUGUGAGAGUGUGCUCAGGUAAUAUAGGUCUGUGAGUGUGUGCUCAGGUAAUAUAGGUCUGUGAGUGUGUGCUCAGGUUCAGUAGAAUGUAUUGUCUGUCUGCAUCUCU